This 463-nucleotide ribosomal RNA is filed under the name uncultured bacterium. RNAcentral's name for it is "bacterial SSU rRNA". It matches the Rfam family "Bacterial small subunit ribosomal RNA", at positions 331 to 792 of the family's 1533-position model. The record is from RNAcentral.
CCAGACUCCUACGGGAGGCAGCAGUGAGGACUCUUGGUCAAUGGCCUCGCGGCUGAACCCGCCCCGCCGCGUGCGGGCGGAAGGUACAGAGUCUCGUAAACCUCUUUUGUCAGGGAACAAAGACUGGGCCGCGUCCCCGGAUGAGUGUACCUGAAGAAAAAGCAUCGGCUAACUCCGUGCCAGCAGCCGCGGUAAUACGGAGGAUGCGAGCGUUAUCCGGAUUUAUGGGGUUUAAAGGGGGCGCAGGCGGAGUGUCAAGUCAGCGGUCAAAUUGCGGGGCGCAACCCCAUACUGCCGUUGAAACUGCAUCCCUUGAGGGCGCGAGAAGUAGGCGGAAUGCGCGGGGGAGCGGUGAAAGGCAGAGAUAUCGCGCAGAACUCCGAUUGCGAAGGCAGCAUGCCGGCGCCACACUGACGCUGAGGCACGAAAGCGUGGGUAUCGAACAGGAUUAGAUACCCGAGUA